RNAcentral lists this ribosomal RNA (892 nucleotides) under uncultured prokaryote. RNAcentral's name for it is "bacterial SSU rRNA". It matches the Rfam family "Bacterial small subunit ribosomal RNA", at positions 540 to 1432 of the family's 1533-position model. The record is from RNAcentral.
GUAGUUCGGAAUUACUGAGCCUAAAGAGCACGUAGGUGGUUAAGAAAGUUGGUGGUGAAAUCCCAAGGCUUAACCUUGGAACUGCCACCAAAACUUUUUAACUAGAGUAUGAUUGAGGUAAGCGGAAUUUCUAGUGUAGAGGUGAAAUUCGUAGAUAUUAGAAAGAACACCAAUUGCGAAGGCAGCUUUCUGGAUCAUUACUGACACUGAGGUGCGAAAGCAUGGGUAGCGAAGAGGAUUAGAUACCCUCGUAGUCCAUGCCGUAAACGAUGUGUGCUAGACGUUGGGAAUUUAUUUUUCAGUGUCGCAGCAAAAGCGUUAAGCACACCGCCUGGGGAGUACGACCGCAAGGUUAAAACUCAAAUGAAUUGACGGGGACCCGCACAAGUAGUGGAGCAUGUGGUUUAAUUCGAAGAUACGCGCAGAACCUUACCAACACUUGACAUGUUCGUCGCGACUCUAAGAGAUUAGAGUUUUCGGUUCGGCCGGACGAAACACAGGUGCUGCAUGGCUGUCGUCAGCUCGUGUCGUGAGAUGUUGGGUUAAGUCCCGCAACGAGCGCAACCCUUACUUUUAGUUGCUACCAUUUAGUUGGGCACUCUAGAAGAACUGCCGGUGAUAAGCUGGAGGAAGGUGGGGAUGACGUCAAGUCCUCAUGGCCCUUAUGUGUUGGGCUACACACGUGCUACAAUGGUAUUUACAGUGGGAUGCAAAGAGGCAACUCCAAGCUAACCCCUAAAGAAUACCUCAGUUCGGAUUGUACUCUGCAACUCGAGUACAUGAAGCUGGAAUUACUAGUAAUCGCGGAUCAGCGCGCCGCGGUGAAUACGUUCCCGGGUCUUGUACACACCGCCCGUCACACCAUGGAAGUUGGUUACACCUUAAGGCAAAG